RNAcentral lists this long non-coding RNA (789 nucleotides) under Chinchilla lanigera (long-tailed chinchilla). Its description in RNAcentral is "lncRNA (ENSCLAG00000022991.1)". Lineage: Eukaryota; Metazoa; Chordata; Mammalia; Rodentia; Chinchillidae. The record is from RNAcentral.
AAUACUUCCAACAUCACUCCUAGGUUAAAGAGGAGUUCUCCAACUAACCUAAUUCAAAUCUAUUGCUCCCUGAAGCAGCUAGCAAAACAUUAUGCUUCCUACUGGCUAACUCCUCUCUAUUGGGAUUGAAUGUUAGGCCCAUUUUCUCCAAUAUUUUCCUUUUUUCCCUCUUCUUUACAGAGGCAGAAAGAGCUGCUUUCCUCUGUACUGUUAAUGAGUUGCGGUAACUAAAAUUGUCACUUCACAGAAACGUCCUGAACAGAAGGAAUCAUGAGUGCCGAACAGAAUGCAGGCACUCAAAACACGCUGAGGUCACUGAUUAACCGCCGCUCCCCUUGGGGUUGUGACGGGCACAGGAAAUGACCUGUAGGGCCGAGAGGACGGACUGCCAGUUGUUUGCUGGCCACAUUGUGAUUAUUUAAACCAGCUUUGUGGAGAUUACCGCAGCACAAAAGCCAUAAUGACUCUUCUCCAGUGGUCCUAAGCGCUGCAGAGCCCUGGGGUGCCCCAGAGGGACCUGGGAGAGGGAAGGCAUUUCAGUGCCAGCUAAUAGGACAGGCACUGAGUCAGAGGCAUCACCGUAUUUGUCUUGUUUCAUCUUCACAAAAUCUCUUUGAAAAGGAUGUGUUUAUUCACAUCUUACAGAUGAAGAAAGUGAAAACAACCGAGUUGGGGAUACAGUCAGCAGGAGAGUGGGAGAGUUUCUGCUUAAUGCGCCUAAGGACCUGGGCUGGAUCUCCAGUUCUAAAAAAAAGAAAGAAAGAAAAAUGAAACCCAAAGAGGUUUUUU